Molecule: ribosomal RNA, 373 nt
Filed under: uncultured organism
Description: bacterial SSU rRNA
Rfam family: Bacterial small subunit ribosomal RNA
Source: RNAcentral
CGUAGGGGGCGAGCGUUGUCCGAAGUUACUGGGCGUAAAGCGCGCGUAGGCGGUCUUUUAAGUCUGGUGUGAAAGGUUCAGGGCUCAACCCGAACAGUGCACUGGAUACUGGGAGACUUGAGUAUGGGAGAGGAGAGCGGAAUUCCUGGUGUAGCGGUGAAAUGCGUAGAUAUCAGGAGGAACACCGAUGGCGAAGGCAGCUCUCUGGCCUGUAACUGACGCUGAGGUGCGAAAGCGUGGGGAGCGAACAGGAUUAGAUACCCUGGUAGUCCACGCCGUAAACGAUGAGUGCUAGGUGUCAGGGGUAUCGACCCCCCUGGUGCCGCAGCUAACGCAGUAAGCACUCCGCCUGGGGAGUACGGCCGCAAGGUUG